UACGGAGGGUGCGAGCGUUGUCCGGAAUCAUUGGGCGUAAAGGGCGCGUAGGUGGCCCGGUCAGCGUGCGGUGAAAGCUCGGGGCUCAACCCCGAGUCGGCCGUGCGAACUGCUGGGCUGGAGCACUGUAGAGGCAGGCGGAAUUCCGGGUGUAGCGGUGGAAUGCGUAGAGAUCCGGAAGAACACCGGUGGCGAAGGCGGCCUGCUGGGCAGUGGCUGGACACUGAGGCGCGACAGCGUGGGGAGCAAACAGGG
This 255-nucleotide ribosomal RNA is filed under the name uncultured bacterium. RNAcentral's name for it is "partial 16S ribosomal RNA". It matches the Rfam family "Bacterial small subunit ribosomal RNA", at positions 524 to 777 of the family's 1533-position model. The record is from RNAcentral.